This 1510-nucleotide ribosomal RNA is filed under the name Phocaeicola massiliensis. RNAcentral describes it as "bacterial SSU rRNA". It matches the Rfam family "Bacterial small subunit ribosomal RNA". Lineage: Bacteria; Pseudomonadati; Bacteroidota; Bacteroidia; Bacteroidales; Bacteroidaceae. The record is from RNAcentral. RNAcentral also lists the same sequence under 1 other name.
AGAGUUUGAUCCUGGCUCAGGAUGAACGCUAGCUACAGGCUUAACACAUGCAAGUCGAGGGGCAGCAUGGUCUUAGCUUGCUAAGGCCGAUGGCGACCGGCGCACGGGUGAGUAACGCGUAUCCAACCUGCCUUACACUCUUGGACAGCCUUCUGAAAGGGAGAUUAAUACAAGAUGUUAUCAUGAGUAAGCAUUUUCGCAUGAUUAAAGGUUUACCGGUGUAAGAUGGGGAUGCGUUCCAUUAGAUAGUAGGCGGGGUAACGGCCCACCUAGUCUUCGAUGGAUAGGGGUUCUGAGAGGAAGGUCCCCCACAUUGGAACUGAGACACGGUCCAAACUCCUACGGGAGGCAGCAGUGAGGAAUAUUGGUCAAUGGACGAGAGUCUGAACCAGCCAAGUAGCGUGAAGGAUGAAGGUUCUAUGGAUUGUAAACUUCUUUUAUACGGGAAUAAACGGAUCCACGUGUGGAUUUUUGCAUGUACCGUAUGAAUAAGGAUCGGCUAACUCCGUGCCAGCAGCCGCGGUAAUACGGAGGAUCCGAGCGUUAUCCGGAUUUAUUGGGUUUAAAGGGAGCGUAGAUGGGUUGUUAAGUCAGUUGUGAAAGUUUGCGGCUCAACCGUAAAAUUGCAAUUGAUACUGGCAGUCUUGAGUACAGUUGAGGUAGGCGGAAUUCGUGGUGUAGCGGUGAAAUGCUUAGAUAUCACGAAGAACUCCGAUUGCGAAGGCAGCUUACUAACCUGUAACUGACAUUGAUGCUCGAAAGUGUGGGUAUCAAACAGGAUUAGAUACCCUGGUAGUCCACACGGUAAACGAUGAAUACUCGCUGUAGGCGAUAUACAGUCUGCGGCCAAGCGAAAGCAUUAAGUAUUCCACCUGGGGAGUACGCCGGCAACGGUGAAACUCAAAGGAAUUGACGGGGGCCCGCACAAGCGGAGGAACAUGUGGUUUAAUUCGAUGAUACGCGAGGAACCUUACCCGGGCUUAAAUUGCAACCGAAUAUGGCGGAAACGCUAUAGCUAGCAAUAGCGGUUGUGAAGGUGCUGCAUGGUUGUCGUCAGCUCGUGCCGUGAGGUGUCGGCUUAAGUGCCAUAACGAGCGCAACCCUUGCCGAUAGUUACUAACAGGUUAUGCUGAGGACUCUGUCGGGACUGCCAUCGUAAGAUGUGAGGAAGGUGGGGAUGACGUCAAAUCAGCACGGCCCUUACGUCCGGGGCUACACACGUGUUACAAUGGGGGGUACAGAGGGCUGCUACCACGCAAGUGGAUGCCAAUCCCAAAAACCUCUCUCAGUUCGGAUUGAAGUCUGCAACCCGACUUCAUGAAGCUGGAUUCGCUAGUAAUCGCGCAUCAGCCACGGCGCGGUGAAUACGUUCCCGGGCCUUGUACACACCGCCCGUCAAGCCAUGGGAGCCGGGGGUACCUGAAGUGCGUAACCGCAAGGAGCGCCCUAGGGUAAAACUGGUGACUGGGGCUAAGUCGUAACAAGGUAGCCGUACCGGAAGGUGCGGCUG